CAUUACCGAGUUUACAACUCCCAAAACCCCUGUGAACAUACCUACCGUUGCCUCGGCGGGAGGCCCCGGGGGGCGGCUCCGGCCGCCCUCCCGGACCCCACGGCUGCCCGCCGGAGGACCCUAAACCUCUGUUUUCUUGCAUUCUGGAUAAUAUCUGAGUACCUAGGCGAAAGCCGAAAAAUGAAUCAAAACUUUCAACAACGGAUCUCUUGGCUCUGGCAUCGAUGAAGAACGCAGCGAAAUGCGAUAAGUAAUGUGAAUUGCAGAAUUCAGUGAAUCAUCGAAUCUUUGAACGCACAUUGCGCCCGCCAGUAUUCUGGCGGGCAUGCCUGUUCGAGCGUCAUUUCAACCCUCGCGCCCCCUGUGGGCGCGGCGUUGGGGAUCGGACUGCCCCCCCCGGGGCGGCGCCGUCCCCGAAAUCCAGUGGCGGUCCCGUCGUCGUCUCCUCUGCGUAGUAGCACACCUCGCACCGGAGCGCGGCGCGGCCACGCCGUAAAACCCCCCAAUCUACAUCAGGUUGACCUCGAAUCAGGUAGGGAUACCCGCUGAACUUAAGC
This 557-nucleotide ribosomal RNA is filed under the name Chaetopsina penicillata. RNAcentral's name for it is "eukaryotic LSU rRNA". The stretch from base 190 to 343 matches the Rfam family "5.8S ribosomal RNA". Lineage: Eukaryota; Fungi; Ascomycota; Sordariomycetes; Hypocreales; Nectriaceae. The record is from RNAcentral.